This 207-nucleotide ribosomal RNA is filed under the name Klebsiella aerogenes. RNAcentral describes it as "partial 23S ribosomal RNA". It matches the Rfam family "Bacterial large subunit ribosomal RNA", at positions 786 to 990 of the family's 2925-position model. The record is from RNAcentral. Lineage: Bacteria; Pseudomonadati; Pseudomonadota; Gammaproteobacteria; Enterobacterales; Enterobacteriaceae. RNAcentral also lists the same sequence under 3 other names.
AUGUUGAAAAAUUAGCGGAUGACUUGUGGCUGGGGGUGAAAGGCCAAUCAAACCGGGAGAUAGCUGGUUCUCCCCGAAAGCUAUUUAGGUAGCGCCUCGUGAAUUCAUCUUCGGGGGUAGAGCACUGUUUCGGCUAGGGGGUCAUCCCGACUUACCAACCCGAUGCAAACUACGAAUACCGAAGAAUGUUAUCACGGGAGACACACG